RNAcentral lists this small nuclear RNA (99 nucleotides) under Catagonus wagneri (Chacoan peccary). The record is from RNAcentral. Lineage: Eukaryota; Metazoa; Chordata; Mammalia; Artiodactyla; Tayassuidae.
GUCUCACUUGGUCAGCACAUAUAGUAGAAUAUGAUACAGAAAUUAGCAUGGCUCCUGAACAAGGAUGACACACAAAUUCGUUUAGAGUUCCAUUAUUUG